This 552-nucleotide ribosomal RNA is filed under the name Kalophrynus interlineatus (striped sticky frog). RNAcentral describes it as "partial 16S ribosomal RNA". It matches the Rfam family "Bacterial large subunit ribosomal RNA", at positions 1819 to 2597 of the family's 2925-position model. Lineage: Eukaryota; Metazoa; Chordata; Amphibia; Anura; Microhylidae. The record is from RNAcentral.
CGCCUUGUGACAAAAUAUACAAGGUCCAGCCUGCCCAGUGAUUUAUUUAACGGCCGCGGUACCCUAACCGUGCGAAGGUAGCACAAUCACUUGUUCCUUAAAUAGGGACUAGUAUGAAUGGCAUCACGAGGGUUAUUCUGUCUCCCCCUUUUAAUCAGUGAAACUGAUCUCCCCGUGAAGAAGCGGGGAUAUCAAUAUAAGACGAGAAGACCCCAUGGAGCUUUAAACUCAGAAACACCAGCUAUUUUUAAACCAAACCAAUACGCCUCCCUGAUUUCUAGUUUUCGGUUGGGGUGACCACGGAGUACAACACAACCUCCUUGAUGAAAGGAACUAUUUCCUUAUUUAAGAACUACAGUUCUAAAAAUCAAUACAUUGACAAAAAUUGAUCCAAAUUAUUUUGAUCAACGAACCAAGUUACCCUGGGGAUAACAGCGCAAUCCAUUUCAAGAGCUCAUAUCGACAAAUGGGUUUACGACCUCGAUGUUGGAUCAGGGUAUCCCAGUGGUGCAGCCGCUACUAAAGGUUCGUUUGUUCAACGAUUAAAACCCU